GGUGGCGACCGGCGCACGGGUGCGUAACGCGUAUGCAACCUGCCUUAUGCAGGGGGAUAGCCCAUGGAAACGUGGAUUAAUACCCCAUAGUAUCAUUUUAUUGCAUAGUAGAAUGAUUAAAACUUCGGUGGCAUAAGAUGGGCAUGCGUCUGAUUAGCUUGUUGGUGAGGUAACGGCUCACCAAGGCGACGAUCAGUAGGGGUUCUGAGAGGAUUAUCCCCCACACUGGUACUGAGACACGGACCAGACUCCUACGGGAGGCAGCAGUGAGGAAUAUUGGUCAAUGGGCGCGAGCCUGAACCAGCCAUCCCGCGUGCAGGAUGACGGCCCUAUGGGUUGUAAACUGCUUUUCUACGCCAAGAAACCCUGUUACGUGUAACAGGUUGCCGGUAGCGUAGGAAUAAGCAUCGGCUAACUCCGUGCCAGCAGCCGCGGUAAUACGGAGGAUGCAAGCGUUAUCCGGAUUCAUUGGGUUUAAAGGGUGCGCAGGUUGGCUUGUAAGUCAGUGGUGAAAUACUGCCGCUUAACGGUAGAAUUGCCAUUGAUACUGCGGGUCUUGAGUAUGGUUGAGGUAGGCGGAAUGUGUUGUGUAGCGGUGAAAUGCAUAGAUAUGACACAGAACGCCGAUUGCGAAGGCAGCUUACUAAGCCAUUACUGACGCUGAGGCACGAAAGCGUGGGGAGCGAACAGGAUUAGAUACCCUGGUAGUCCACGCUGUAAACGAUGUUCACUCGCUGUUUGCGAUACACAGUAAGCGGCUGAGCGAAAGCAUUAAGUGAACCACCUGGGGAGUACGAUCGCAAGGUUGAAACUCAAAGGAAUUGACGGGGGCCCGCACAAGCGGAGGAACAUGUGGUUUAAUUCGAUGAUACGCGAGGAACCUUACCUGGGCUUAAA
This 897-nucleotide ribosomal RNA is filed under the name Bacteroidota bacterium. RNAcentral describes it as "bacterial SSU rRNA". It matches the Rfam family "Bacterial small subunit ribosomal RNA", at positions 87 to 985 of the family's 1533-position model. Lineage: Bacteria; Pseudomonadati; Bacteroidota. The record is from RNAcentral.